RNAcentral lists this microRNA precursor (91 nucleotides) under Marmota monax (woodchuck). Lineage: Eukaryota; Metazoa; Chordata; Mammalia; Rodentia; Sciuridae. The record is from RNAcentral.
AUACAAAUUACCUGGGGAUUUUAUUAAAGAGCAAACUCUAUCAGUAGGUCUGAGAGUUAGCAUUUCAAAUGCAUUCCUAGGUGGUCCAAUG